This 406-nucleotide ribosomal RNA is filed under the name uncultured bacterium. RNAcentral describes it as "partial 16S ribosomal RNA". It matches the Rfam family "Bacterial small subunit ribosomal RNA", at positions 30 to 526 of the family's 1533-position model. The record is from RNAcentral.
AUUGAACGCUGGCGGCAGGCCUAACACAUGCAAGUCGAGCGAGCGGCGGACGGGUGAGUAAUGUAUGGGGAACUGCCCGAUAGAGGGGGAUAACUAGUGGAAACGGUGGCUAAUACCGCAUACGAUCGGAUGGACCCAUAUUGGAUUGGCUAGUAGGUGGGGUAAAGGCUCACCUAGGCGACGAUCCCUAGCUGGUCUGAGAGGAUGAUCAGCCACACUGGGACUGAGACACGGCCCAGACUCCUACGGGAGGCAGCAGUGGGGAAUAUUGCACAAUGGGCGAAAGCCUGAUGCAGCCAUGCCGCGUGUAUGAAGAAGGCCUUAGGGUUGUAAAGCACUUUUAGCGGGGAGGCGUUACCCGCAGAAGAAGCACCGGCUAACUCCGUGCCAGCAGCCGCGGUAAUUC